This 2408-nucleotide long non-coding RNA is filed under the name Triticum aestivum (bread wheat). RNAcentral describes it as "long non-coding RNA (TAES_LNC023193)". The record is from RNAcentral. Lineage: Eukaryota; Viridiplantae; Streptophyta; Magnoliopsida; Poales; Poaceae.
GCAACUCGCGUAGAUUAAAGUUAAAUCUAGCAAUAUAGUACACUUGACACCGGAGUAAACCCCAGAUUAAACAAUGUACUAUGACUUCAGAAGAAUAUACAUUAAUCUGCCAUAUUGCAGGGAAAACAAAUCUGGAGCACAAAGUAGAGAGAAACACCUGUAACACACAUGCACGAUAUAACAUGACCUAAAUGUAAUAAAAUAUAGUUGUAUUUUCUAAUGGAACAAAAUAUGUAUCUGCGGAUGGUACUCAAGAUGCUUCUUUUUUUGCCUCUCAUUAUUAUUUUUGUUGGAGAAGAAGUUACAUUUGUUACGCACUAAAAGGCACCUGGUAGCAUAUCAUGUCAUCAGAUAAUCUUCUGGACUGUGUUCCUACUUCCUACUGCUUCACUGAUUUCUUGUAGUUGCUAGAAAAAUGAGAUUUGUCAAACGGAAGCUUCCUUCCGCCUGCCACUGACAUGCCACCGACGAUGUGUGAAUAUUACGUGAGCAGCUAGAACCUUUUUUUAUGGAUGAGACGAUGAGCAGCUACAAACUUGAUACUGUUAAUGGUAGUCUCAUUCUUCCAAAAAAAAUAGGAAAACAAACUCAUACAUUUCAACACAGCUCCUUCUUCACAUAAACUUCCAGUUUAAAUGAGAAUACUAUUAUUUUCGAUGAAGGGAGCUUUAUUACUUAAAAGGUUUAAGCAUUAUACCCGGCCCCUCUGCAUAAAUGAAAAUACUAAUAGCAACAAAAAAAACUUAAUAAGAAAACUCCGACAAUGUGGACCGAGAUUGACUUGGUAGUAGAUCAAAUCACACAUGUUCAAUCUUUGCUCAAUGAGAACUGAGGAACAACAACAACAACAACAACAAAGCCUUUAGUCCCAAACAAGUUGGGAUAGGCUAGAGGUGAAACCCAUAAGAUCUCGCAACCAACUCAUGGCUCUGGCACAUGGAUAGCAAGCUUCCACGCACCCCUGUCCAUAGCUAGCUCUUUGUCGAUACUCCAAUCCUUCAGGUCUCUCUUAACGGACUCCUCUCAUGUCAAAAUCGGUUGACCCCGCCCUCUCUUGACAUUCUCCGCACGCUUUAGCCGUCCGCUAUGCACUGGAGCUUGUGAAGGCCUGCGCUAAAUAUGCCCAAACCAUCUCAAACGAUGUUGGACAAGCUUCUCCUCAAUUGGUGCUACCCCAACUCUAUCUCGUAUAUCAUCAUUCCGGACUCGAUCCUUCCUCGUGUGGCCACACAUCCAUCUCAACAUACGCAUCUCCGCCACACCUAACUAUUGAACAUGUCGCCUUUUAGUCGGCCAACACUCCGCGCCAUACAACAUUGCGGGUCGAACCGCCGUCCUGUAGAACUUGCCUUUUAGCUUUUGUGGCACUCUCUUGUCACAGAGAAUGCCAGAAGCUUGGCGCCACUUCAUCCAUCCGGCUUUGAUUCGAUGGUUGACAUCUUCAUCAAUACCCCCAUCCUCCUGCAACAUUGACCCCAAAUACCGAAAGGUGUCCUUUCGAGGUACCACCUGGCCAUCAAGGCUAACCUCCUCCUCCUCACAGCUAGUAGUACUGAAACCGCACAUCAUGUACUCGGUUUUAGUUCUACUAAGCCUAAACCCUUUUGAUUCCAAGGUUUGUUUCCAUAACUCUAACUUCCUAUUUACCCCCGUCCGACUAUCGUCAACUAGCACCACAUCAUCCGCAAAGAGCAUACACCAUGGGAUAUCUCCUUGUAUACCCCUUGUGACCUCAUCCAUCACCAAUGCAAAAAGAUAAGGGCUCAAAGCUGACCCCUGGUGCAGUCCUAUCUUAAUCGGGAAGUCAUCGGUGUCGACAUCACUUGUUCGAACACUUGUCACAACAUUAUUAUACAUGUCCUUGAUGAGGGUAAUGUACUUUGCUGGGACUUUGUGUUUCUCCAAGGCCCUACCACAUGACAUUCCGCGGUAUCUUAUCAUAGGCCUUCUCCAAGUCAAUGAGAACUGAGGAACAACUUUGUAAAAAAAAACUACCCUACUCCACACUGAUCAUUGCAUGACAUCAAUAUUUCUCUUACAGAACUAAACUUAGACAGCCAUGUAAGCUCUAAGCAUUGUUCUUGAUUAAACGGACAAAACAUAAAGGAAUUGGAAGUCUCACCAUCAGUAUAUAAUGUUUCCACGCAAUAUUUUUGUCCGAACAACCACAAUCAAUAUCCAUUACAUCCACACUUGCCUCAAGAGGGAGAGUAGACCCGCCUGCACAAUAGAGACUAUAGAACAUUCACAUGAAGUGCUAAAAAAUGUAAUACCAAAAUUUAAUCUAAUGAGGAAGCAGAGCCCACCGCCGCAUCCAUGGAUGGCCACCAGGGGAGUCUCCAGCGCCGUGCGACAUCGACCUGCCGCAAGGGCCCGGACGGGCAACGGCACACGCAUCCACCCGCUNN